UUAAUCGAUUAAUCGAAUACUUCCUACAGAAAUCGAUUAUUAAUCGAACGAAUACUGCGCAACCAAUAAUCGAAGCGAACGAAUAAUUUGCGUCGAUUAAUCGAUCCAAACCCAGAAGAAAAAAAAAUACGACCGCUGCUGUUUUAUUUUUUUAUAAGUUAUUUUGAUUAUAUUUGAUUUACCAUGUAGUGGCUCACCCCACUUCGUAAACACCUUGAUCUGCAUGUCUUGUCAGUGGGCUUUGUCAUUAGUCAUUUUGUUUCAACAGUGCUAGGGUUCAGACUGUAAUCGCGACUUAUGGCGCAAAAAGCGAAUUGGAAGCGAAAGUGAAAGAAAUAUUUUUGCGGAGAAAAUUUAACAAAUACUGCAGGUUCAGAUAUCCAGGGAGAUUGAAAUCCUGUUCCAGAGAAAAAAGGACAGCGUUGCCUUUUCUUCACGGCCAUUUUGAGCGCGUUUUUUCAGAUUGAAUAUCGAUUGGAACCGAAGAAGCCUAAUUGGGAAAAAUUCGCGAUGUCAGAAACACCUUCGACAAAAAAUCAAGAAAAAUCCAAAAUCAGUCCGGCUUGGGAGUUCUUUAAAAAAAUUGAGGGGAACAAAGUACAAUGU
This is a long non-coding RNA of Toxorhynchites rutilus septentrionalis, 606 nucleotides long. RefSeq lists it as uncharacterized. The transcript is spliced from 3 exons. NCBI's taxonomy places the organism in Eukaryota, Metazoa, Arthropoda, Insecta, Diptera, Culicidae. The record is from RefSeq and is a predicted model, not a curated record.